UCUUUAACCAAACCCAACCUCCCCAAUUCGCCGCCUUCCCCGCUCCCACAACCACACGUUCCCGUGUGAGGGCUUAUUGCCUCCAGCCAGCCAGCGUCCUUCGCCCCCACAUUCACGAGGUUUGGAGCCGGCCUCACCCGCGGAGGCGGACACCGCCCACCCGCGCGUGCGCACUACGCAGUCAUCCUGCGACCUCCAGAAUCCACCGGGGUGCAGCGAGGCUGUGGAAAGUCCCACCCAGAACGUGAGUUUUAACUUCUAGUCAUGGCGAAUGAUCGCAGGAGAGCACAGACUGGACCCUGCUACGAUCUCUCUUGGAGUGGAUCAGACUGAUGAUCACCAACAACCAACUCAUUCCCGGAUAAGGAAGAAGAGAGUGUCACCUACUUCAGUGUGGUUUCAACCCUACUUCUGCAUCUUAAAGACACUGUGUACAACGUUGGACACUGUGCAGGAUGAUGCCACUUCAUCUUGGAUGCUAAUCUGCCAUGUUGACUUCUGAUUAACCCCAGGCCCAGGAAUGCCUCAAGAUUUCUACUUUACUUACUGUUGCUUGUGUAAGCCAAGACAACCUUGAUGUUAUCAUAAACAUGUACUUACCUAAGUCCUGUCCUUUGGCAAAUUAUGGGCUAUGAGACACAGCAUUCUUGCCUUUCCCUGAGGGGUCAAUUUCAGCGAUCCUACACAUUCCUUCUGAAGCACUUAUGCUCUUUCUAUAUGGUAUGUAAGCUCUCGGUCUGGGGAGUAACAGUGCAGAGAUCUACCUGUCUUGUUGCCACAUGUUUCUAAACUUUCCAAUAAAUCACCUUCUACUGACAAACUGG
Molecule: long non-coding RNA, 824 nt
Filed under: Homo sapiens (human)
Lineage: Eukaryota; Metazoa; Chordata; Mammalia; Primates; Hominidae
Description: HSALNT0262704
Source: RNAcentral